RNAcentral lists this ribosomal RNA (908 nucleotides) under Escherichia coli. Its description in RNAcentral is "partial 23S ribosomal RNA". It matches the Rfam family "Bacterial large subunit ribosomal RNA", at positions 419 to 1327 of the family's 2925-position model. The record is from RNAcentral. Lineage: Bacteria; Pseudomonadati; Pseudomonadota; Gammaproteobacteria; Enterobacterales; Enterobacteriaceae.
GGGACACGUGGUAUCCUGUCUGAAUAUGGGGGGACCAUCCUCCAAGGCUAAAUACUCCUGACUGACCGAUAGUGAACCAGUACCGUGAGGGAAAGGCGAAAAGAACCCCGGCGAGGGGAGUGAAAAAGAACCUGAAACCGUGUACGUACAAGCAGUGGGAGCACGCUUAGGCGUGUGACUGCGUACCUUUUGUAUAAUGGGUCAGCGACUUAUAUUCUGUAGCAAGGUUAACCGAAUAGGGGAGCCGAAGGGAAACCGAGUCUUAACUGGGCGUUAAGUUGCAGGGUAUAGACCCGAAACCCGGUGAUCUAGCCAUGGGCAGGUUGAAGGUUGGGUAACACUAACUGGAGGACCGAACCGACUAAUGUUGAAAAAUUAGCGGAUGACUUGUGGCUGGGGGUGAAAGGCCAAUCAAACCGGGAGAUAGCUGGUUCUCCCCGAAAGCUAUUUAGGUAGCGCCUCGUGAAUUCAUCUCCGGGGGUAGAGCACUGUUUCGGCAAGGGGGUCAUCCCGACUUACCAACCCGAUGCAAACUGCGAAUACCGGAGAAUGUUAUCACGGGAGACACACGGCGGGUGCUAACGUCCGUCGUGAAGAGGGAAACAACCCAGACCGCCAGCUAAGGUCCCAAAGUCAUGGUUAAGUGGGAAACGAUGUGGGAAGGCCCAGACAGCCAGGAUGUUGGCUUAGAAGCAGCCAUCAUUUAAAGAAAGCGUAAUAGCUCACUGGUCGAGUCGGCCUGCGCGGAAGAUGUAACGGGGCUAAACCAUGCACCGAAGCUGCGGCAGCGACACUAUGUGUUGUUGGGUAGGGGAGCGUUCUGUAAGCCUGUGAAGGUGUGCUGUGAGGCAUGCUGGAGGUAUCAGAAGUGCGAAUGCUGACAUAAGUAACGAUAAAGCGGGUGAAAA